GGUUGUCCAAAUUCCUCAGGCCCACCUAGUAUCAUUCAUCUUCUUCAUCUUCUUUCUAUCUCUACUUCUCUCAUCUCCAUUAAACCCUACCAGCCAUGAAAGCGAGCUCAAACCUCACCCAAAAUCCGACCAUACCACCCUUACCCCUCUCUACAUUCUAAUCAUUCACAUUUAUUCAAAACCUUCACCCCAGUUGGACUCGGCCCUCAUCCAAAAUCGAAGAAGAAAUUCUUUUCGAAGUCUCCAGGUUUUAGGAACAAUUCGAUUCAAAAUCGAUAUCGUUUGAUUGUUCUUAAGAAGAACAACCGAUCAAUAUCAAUUUCGGGUCGAAUCGAAGACGUCGGAGUUCAUUCAAUUAAGACAUUUGCCUUCUUUUAGGUAUUUCAUUUCGUCUCUGUUCGUCGACAUGUUUCCGUUUCUGUUUAUUUCGUCGCUUCGUUCUUCUCUGUUUCUUCGUCAUCUUCCAUCACUGCCCAUCUUCCCAUCUUUUGUUCUUGUUUGUUUUGUUCUUGCUUGGUUCUUCUAGCUAAAAUAUCAUAAGGUCAAGUCGAUUAAUAUAAUAAUUAGUAUCGAUUCAGGAGUCAUCUAGUUUUGUGAUUAAUUCAAUUUUUUUAGUGUGUUCUGUCUGGUUUGAUUUUUGUUAAUUCUGUUAUACUCUUGAUUUUCUUUGUGUUUGGUUUCAAUUCAAUAACUCGUAAUUAGUGUUUGAGGUUUAGGAUUUCGAUUAGUUUUAGUCGGAUUAAAAACAUUUCUGCCUGUUUGGAUUUGUGGAGUUAUGCCAAUGAUGUGAAUCUAAGUUUCUAUUUGAUUUUCUGUUACGGAUAAUAGAUAAUGACAAUUAGUAAUCUGGAAAUUAGUAAUUAGUUAGAUUUAAUGUAAGAUUUGUUUACUGGUUAGUUUCACCACAGUUAGUUAAUUGAUUGGAUCAGUUUACAUAGUUAGUAGUUUUAGGGUAAUUUUAGGGUCUUUAAAGGUUAAUCUAGGGAAUUCAAUUCAGAGAAUCUUUGUCUAACUGAAAGAAGAAGCUUCUUGCAAGGGCUACCAGCCAAUUUCAGGCUUUUAAGUGGUUAAUCUUGGGAAUCAAGUCAGUAGUUGGAGGAUUAAGUAGCAAAAAGGGAAGUGUAAUGGGGGCUAACUUGAAAUAAUUGAACCCUCAAGAGGCUGCCCUCACUCUUGCCUAUAAAAGGCAUGCAUCAUGCCUUGAACAAUAAGUUUGGCAUCCUAAAAAUUUCCCAAAAAAAAUAUAUUUUCCAAGCUUCCAGAUCUAAUAAUUUCAGAUAUGUAAUUUCCUUAGAUCUUAACUCCUUCAAGCAGAAAAACCAAAAAAAGAACAAUAGAAAACCAUUAAAAAACUAUAAAAAAAAACAGAUAAGAAAGUAUUGGUUCCAUUGGAAACCUACAAUCAGUCUGGAAUUUCAAUUUGAAUCACAUCAUUUGGACUAUAGCUUGAUGUUGAUACACUUUAUGGUGUUUGGAUAUGCUUUCAGGUGGAUUUAAGUCCAAUUGAGUUUAAGCAACCCCCACUUCCAACCGAGAGGUUGUGAGUUCGAGUCUCCCAAAAGCAAGGUGGGAAGUUCUUGGAGGAAAGGAUGUCGUGGGUCUAUUUGGAAAC
This 1612-nucleotide long non-coding RNA is filed under the name Nicotiana benthamiana. RNAcentral's name for it is "long non-coding RNA (NBEN_LNC021240)". Lineage: Eukaryota; Viridiplantae; Streptophyta; Magnoliopsida; Solanales; Solanaceae. The record is from RNAcentral.